UACGUAGGGUGCGAGCGUUGUCCGGAAUUACUGGGCGUAAAGAGCGCGCAGGUGGUUGAUUAAGUCUGAUGUGAAAGCCCACGGCUUAACCGUGGAGGGUCAUUGGAAACUGGUCGACUUGAGUGCAGAAGAGGGAAGUGGAAUUCCAUGUGUAGCGGUGAAAUGCGUAGAGAUAUGGAGGAACACCAGUGGCGAAGGCGGCUUUCUGGCCAGUUACUGACGCUCAUGCGCGAAAGCUGGGGUAGCGAACCGGAUUAGAUA
Molecule: ribosomal RNA, 261 nt
Filed under: uncultured prokaryote
Description: partial 16S ribosomal RNA
Rfam family: Bacterial small subunit ribosomal RNA
Source: RNAcentral